RNAcentral lists this ribosomal RNA (627 nucleotides) under uncultured bacterium. Its description in RNAcentral is "bacterial SSU rRNA". The stretch from base 1 to 538 matches the Rfam family "Bacterial small subunit ribosomal RNA", at positions 338 to 873 of the family's 1533-position model. The record is from RNAcentral.
CCUACGGGAGGCGGCAGUGGGGAAUUUUGGACAAUGGGCGCAAGCCUGAUCCAGCAAUGCCGCGUGAGUGAAGAAGGCCUUCGGGUUGUAAAGCUCUUUUGUCAGGGAAGAAACGGUGGUUCCUAAUAUGGACUACUAAUGACGGUACCUGAAGAAUAAGCACCGGCUAACUACGUGCCAGCAGCCGCGGUAAUACGUAGGGUGCAAGCGUUAAUCGGAAUUACUGGGCGUAAAGCGUGCGCAGGCGGUUAUAUAAGUCAGAUGUGAAAUCCCCGGGCUCAACCUGGGAACUGCAUUUGAGACUGUAUGGCUAGAGUGUGUCAGAGGGGGGUAGAAUUCCACGUGUAGCAGUGAAAUGCGUAGAUAUGUGGAGGAAUACCGAUGGCGAAGGCAGCCCCCUGGGAUAACACUGACGCUCAUGCACGAAAGCGUGGGGAGCAAACAGGAUUAGAUACCCUGGUAGUCCACGCCCUAAACGAUGUCUACUAGUUGUCGGUACUUAUUGUCGUUGUACGCAGCGUACGCGNGAGAGACCGCCGNGGGUAAGGUACGGUCGCGAGUAAGUUAAACGUUAACGAAGAAGUUAGACGGCGNGAGACGNGCGACGGACGACGACGAGGGAGGAGG